CCUACGGGAGGCAGCAGUGGGGAAUAUUGGACAAUGGGCGAAAGCCUGAUCCAGCCAUGCCGCGUGUGUGAAGAAGGCCUUCGGGUUGUAAAGCACUUUCAGUGGGGAAGAAAGCCUUGGGGCUAAUACCCUCGAGGAAGGACAUCACCCACAGAAGAAGCACCGGCUAACUCCGUGCCAGCAGCCGCGGUAAUACGGAGGGUGCGAGCGUUAAUCGGAAUUACUGGGCGUAAAGCGCGCGUAGGCGGUCUGAUAAGCCGGUUGUGAAAGCCCCGGGCUCAACCUGGGAACGGCAUCCGGAACUGUCAGGCUAGAGUGCAGGAGAGGAAGGUAGUAUUCCCGGUGUAGCGGUGAAAUGCGUAGAGAUCGGGAGGAAUACCAGUGGCGAAGGCGGCCUUCUGGACUGACACUGACGCUGAGGUGCGAAAGCGUGGGUAGCAAACAGGAUUAGAUACCCGAGUAGUC
This 465-nucleotide ribosomal RNA is filed under the name Vreelandella stevensii. RNAcentral's name for it is "partial 16S ribosomal RNA". It matches the Rfam family "Bacterial small subunit ribosomal RNA", at positions 338 to 795 of the family's 1533-position model. Lineage: Bacteria; Pseudomonadati; Pseudomonadota; Gammaproteobacteria; Oceanospirillales; Halomonadaceae. The record is from RNAcentral.